GUACACCUACGGGAGGCAGCAGUCGGGAAUAUUGCACAAUGGAGGAAACUCUGAUGCAGUGACGCCGCGUGCAGGAAGAAGGUCUUCGGAUUGUAAACUGCUUUAGAUAGGGAAGAUAAAAGACUGUACCUAUAGAAUAAGCUCCGGCUAACUACGUGCCAGCAGCCGCGGUAAUACGUAGGGAGCAAGCGUUAUCCGGAUUUCUUGGGUGUAAAGGGUGCGUAGACGGGAAUUUAAGUUAGUUGUGAAAUCCCUCGGCUUCACU
RNAcentral lists this ribosomal RNA (265 nucleotides) under uncultured bacterium. RNAcentral describes it as "partial 16S ribosomal RNA". It matches the Rfam family "Bacterial small subunit ribosomal RNA", at positions 333 to 614 of the family's 1533-position model. The record is from RNAcentral.